RNAcentral lists this ribosomal RNA (506 nucleotides) under uncultured bacterium. RNAcentral describes it as "partial 16S ribosomal RNA". It matches the Rfam family "Bacterial small subunit ribosomal RNA", at positions 30 to 523 of the family's 1533-position model. The record is from RNAcentral.
AUUGAACGCUGGCGGCAGGCCUAACACAUGCAAGUCGAGCGGCAGCGGAAAGUAGCUUGCUACUUUGCCGGCGAGCGGCGGACGGGUGAGUAAUGUCUGGGAAACUGCCUGAUGGAGGGGGAUAACUACUGGAAACGGUAGCUAAUACCGCAUAACGUCGCAAGACCAAAGAAGGGGACCUUCGGGCCUCUUGCCAUCAGAUGUGCCCAGAUGGGAUUAGCUAGUAGGUGGGGUAACGGCUCACCUAGGCGACGAUCCCUAGCUGGUCUGAGAGGAUGACCAGCCACACUGGAACUGAGACACGGUUCAGACUCCUACGGGAGGCAGCAGUGGGGAAUAUUGCACAAUGGGCGCAAGCCUGAUGCAGCCAUGCCGCGUGUAUGAAGAAGGCCUUAGGGUUGUAAAGUACUUUCAGCGGGGAGGAAGGUGUUGAGGUUAAUAACCUCAGCAAUUGACGUUACCCGCAGAAGAAGCACCGGCUAACUCCGUGCCAGCCGCCGCCGUAA